Dinoponera quadriceps is the source of this 479-nucleotide long non-coding RNA. RefSeq lists it as uncharacterized. The record is from RefSeq and is a predicted model, not a curated record. NCBI's taxonomy places the organism in Eukaryota, Metazoa, Arthropoda, Insecta, Hymenoptera, Formicidae. The transcript is spliced from 3 exons.
UACAGACGCUGUGUGAGAGUGUAGCUGCAUCGCAAAUAUCGUGAAAAAUACAAAACUGCCUAUAAACUAGACACGUGAGACAGAGAUAAAUAUAUAAGCAUCGUAUACCGUCUAAUAUUGCGGAAAACUCAUAAUUAAAAGAUGUAUUAAGAGAUACUUGACAAGAAUUGUAUCUUGAUAAAACAAUGUCUGAAACUAGGCACAACAUCAAGAAUUGUUAGGACUGGCUAAAGUAGCAAUUGACAUUGUUAUUGAUGCACUCUGCUUUGGAUUAUCCUCAGUUGUUGUGAUCAAAGAACUGACAUCACGAAUUGCAUUUGCACAAGGACAAACUCCAACUUUAUUCUUAAAUCAUGGAGAAUUUCUAAAACUUGCAGUAGUGGUUCAACCACGUGACACGACAGUUCUUGAGAAAGCUAUUGAGCAACAAAUGUGUUUUGUAAAACAAAACGUCAAGAAUAAAAUAAGUUGAAAACAUA